Molecule: long non-coding RNA, 1266 nt
Organism: Fundulus heteroclitus (mummichog)
Lineage: Eukaryota; Metazoa; Chordata; Actinopteri; Cyprinodontiformes; Fundulidae
Exons: 4
Source: RefSeq, a predicted model, not a curated record
GUUUUGUUUUUGUAUAUCUUUGUAUUUGCGUAAAUAUUCUCCUGAAAUAAUGUAAUUUUCUUCUGUUUAGCUAAGUUACAUAUUGGACCAGGACCGUUCUGAUAGUAAAGGAGGGAAGUGUGUGUCUGACACGAGAGGAUUUCUGGUCCUUGGGGUUAAAUCAGUGCAUGGAAUCAAAUAUUGGAAAUGCUUGCCUGACAAUAGUGGAGGAAACGGCAAAAAGAUGUGUAAUUAAAUUGCGUAGAUCUUCGGUUUUAAGCCCUAUGAACCAAUCAAAAUGCUUAACAUCAUUCUUUCUGUUUUCAUAAGGGAAAAGAAAUACACAUCUUCGAUCUGUGUGUGGUGCCCCUGUGGAAGUCAGAAGAUGUGGAUCCUUUGUGUUCAUUGGCUGACCUGACAACAAAAGAUGUUGUAGCUUUCCCAGCAUGGAACCAACAACAAGGCGCUGCUGAUCACUACCUCCUCUGUGUUCUACUGGUAAAACAGAGAGAGACAGUGUUUCUUGACUCCCUUCGACCUGAUGGUUUUGGCGACGAGGCCUACAGAAAUAUAUUUAGGUUCAAGCUAUAUAGAUUCACUGGUUAUGGCCUAUUGCCAGUUCUGUUUCUUCGGAUAUAUGUUCAUAAAAGCCUCGUUCUCAGGCUACUUGUAUAUUGCAGUGUUUCACACCUUAAUCUAAAUUUAUAAUUCAAAUGUGUUUAGACGCAUUGCUGCCUUAUCAAUCAUGGUCCGAGAAGACAGGGGGCGACCUUGAAGUAUGUUUUUACUUAUCAAAGUGUGAACAGUUUGCAAUAAAACACAUAUUUAUCGCUAAUAUAUGGUUUUACUUUUCUCUAAAACACAUAUUUAUCGCUAAUAUAUGGUUUUACUUUUCUCUAAUUUUACAUGUGUCUUUUAGCAUAGUUCUUAAGAUGUUUGUACAAUCAGUUCUUAAUUUAAUGCAUAAAGUUUUCUCUCUCUCUAAUUUUUUUUUCCCUUUUCAACUUUUCUAAUUACAACCCAUUUUAACCAUAUCAGCAUUUCAUAUAGGUUUUAAGGCCUAGUUCAAUUUUUUUCUCGCCUGUUCUAAUCGUAUUUGUGUAUAGUUUGGUGGUAGUAGGAAAUGAGUUUUUUGCUGUUUAAUUUACAAUGUUGUUUGAUUUACAUGUUUUGUUUUGAAGUUUUCAGAGGACACUUUACAGGAUAUUAGAGCAAGAUCUUUUCUUUAAAUAAAAGGUUAAUAAGCAAUGAUUAGGUUUUUUCUUUUUAAAAAGCAAAAAUGUUUCC